AACGUAGGAGACAAACGUUAUCCGGAGUUACUGGCGUGAAGGGCGUGUAGGCGGUUUGUUAAGUCUGGCGUGAAAGCUCUCGGCUAAACCGGGAGAGGUCGUUGGAUACUGGCGAACUAGAGGAUGGUAGAGGCGUGUGGUAUUCCGGGUGUAGUGGUGAAAUGCGUAGAGAUCCGGAGGAACACCAGUGGCGAAGGCGACACGCUGGGCCAUACCUGACGCUAAAGCGCGACAGCAUGGGGAGCAAACGGG
This 252-nucleotide ribosomal RNA is filed under the name uncultured bacterium. RNAcentral's name for it is "partial 16S ribosomal RNA". It matches the Rfam family "Bacterial small subunit ribosomal RNA", at positions 524 to 776 of the family's 1533-position model. The record is from RNAcentral.